AGAAAGCCACGGCUAACUACGUGCCAGCAGCCGCGGUAAUACGUAGGUGGCAAGCGUUGUCCGGAUUUAUUGGGCGUAAAGCGAGCGCAGGCGGUUUUUUAAGUCUGAUGUGAAAGCCUUCGGCUCAACCGAAGAAGUGCAUCGGAAACUGGGAAAUUUGAGUGCAGAAGAGGACAGUGGAACUCCAUGUGUAGCGGUGAAAUGCGUAGAUAUAUGGAAGAACACCAGUGGCGAAGGCGGCUGUCUGGUCUGUAACUGACGCUGAGGCUCGAAAGUAUGGGUAGCAAACAGGAUUAGAUACCCUGGUAGUCCA
This 313-nucleotide ribosomal RNA is filed under the name Lactiplantibacillus plantarum. RNAcentral describes it as "bacterial SSU rRNA". It matches the Rfam family "Bacterial small subunit ribosomal RNA", at positions 485 to 797 of the family's 1533-position model. Lineage: Bacteria; Bacillati; Bacillota; Bacilli; Lactobacillales; Lactobacillaceae. The record is from RNAcentral.